CUAAAAUAAAUACAUACAGUUUUAUACAUCAAUGUUUGAGCUUUCGUCUUAUUUAAAAUCUUUUUAUGAUUAUAAUUUCUAUUGCUAUUAGAUGAUAAAAUAUGAAUAGUAUUUUAUGUGUGACUAAAUAUUUUUAAAUUUUUUAUAAAUCUUUCAAAUAAGACAUACGGUUAAAUGUUAGACAUAGAUAUUUACGGCUGCACUUAUU
This is a microRNA precursor of Oryza rufipogon (brownbeard rice), 208 nucleotides long. It matches the Rfam family "MIR812 microRNA precursor family". The record is from Rfam. Lineage: Eukaryota; Viridiplantae; Streptophyta; Magnoliopsida; Poales; Poaceae.